UCCCUGGUGGCUCAGUGGUAAAGAAUCUGCCUGCAAUGCAGGAGACCCAGGUUUGAUCCCUGGGUGGGGAA
Molecule: transfer RNA, 71 nt
Filed under: Ovis aries (sheep)
Lineage: Eukaryota; Metazoa; Chordata; Mammalia; Artiodactyla; Bovidae
Rfam family: tRNA
About the family: Transfer RNA (tRNA) molecules are approximately 80 nucleotides in length. Their secondary structure includes four short double-helical elements and three loops (D, anti-codon, and T loops).
Source: Rfam by way of RNAcentral